AAGGCAGGCUGUGUGGCAUUAGCUAUCGACUCGUUACUAGCCAUUUUGUACUAAACAAUGUCUUCUCCCAGUGGCGGAGAGGGGAUUCCAGCUCUCGACAUAAAGCAAAGCAACCUUUAAACCCCCCGUCAGUCGCCACCUCUGUUUUUAAAGUUUCCCAAUGUCAAGAGGAUUCAAAAGCAUGUAUAUAAUGUAUGAUUACUUUGUUCUUUUU
RNAcentral lists this unclassified non-coding RNA (214 nucleotides) under Hevea brasiliensis (rubber tree). The record is from RNAcentral. Lineage: Eukaryota; Viridiplantae; Streptophyta; Magnoliopsida; Malpighiales; Euphorbiaceae.